CGUAACACGUAUGUAACCUACCCUUACCAGGGGGAUAGCCUCUCGAAAGAGAGAUUAAGACCGCAUAACAUCACGAUUCAGCAUUGGAAUGUGAUCAAAUAUUUAUAGGGUAAGGAUGGGCAUGCGGAACAUUAGCUAGUUGGCGGGGUAACGGCCCACCAAGGCUACGAUGUUUAGGGGAUCUGAGAGGAUGGCCCCCCACACUGGUACUGAGACACGGACCAG
Molecule: ribosomal RNA, 225 nt
Filed under: uncultured bacterium
Lineage: Bacteria
Description: partial 16S ribosomal RNA
Rfam family: Bacterial small subunit ribosomal RNA
Source: RNAcentral